RNAcentral lists this ribosomal RNA (506 nucleotides) under uncultured bacterium. RNAcentral's name for it is "partial 16S ribosomal RNA". It matches the Rfam family "Bacterial small subunit ribosomal RNA", at positions 28 to 523 of the family's 1533-position model. The record is from RNAcentral.
GAUGAACGCUAGCUACAGGCUUAACACAUGCAAGUCGAGGGGUAACAAGAGGAAAGUUUGCUUUUCUUGUUGACGACCGGCGCACGGGUGAGUAACGCGUAUCCAACCUGCCUAUAACUAGGGAAUAACCUUGCGAAAGUAAGACUAAUACCCUAUGAUUUCCUUUGAUGACAUCAGAUUAGGAAUAAAGAUUUAUCGGUUAUAGGUGGGGAUGCGUCUGAUUAGCUUGUUGGCGGGGUAACGGCCCACCAAGGCAACGAUCAGUAGGGGUUCUGAGAGGAAGGUCCCCCACAUUGGAACUGAGACACGGUCCAAACUCCUACGGGAGGCAGCAGUGAGGAAUAUUGGUCAAUGGGCGGAAGCCUGAACCAGCCAAGUAGCGUGCAGGAUGACGGCCCUAUGGGUUGUAAACUGCUUUUAUACAGGAAUAAAGUUAGCCACGUGUGGUUAUUUGUAGGUACUGUAUGAAUAAGGACCGGCUAAUUCCGUGCCAGCCGCCGCGGUAA